Molecule: long non-coding RNA, 385 nt
Filed under: Physcomitrium patens
Lineage: Eukaryota; Viridiplantae; Streptophyta; Bryopsida; Funariales; Funariaceae
Description: long non-coding RNA (PPAT_LNC013531)
Source: RNAcentral
UCCUAAUAUAAUUCCAAAUCUUAAUCAAAUCUUAAAUAAGUCUUAAAUCUUAAUUUAAUUUUAAAUCCUAGAUAAAUUCUAAUAAAAUCUUAAUGAAAUCCUAAUCAAAUCUUAAACCAAUCCUAAUUAAAUCCUAAAUCUUAAUCAAAUCUUAAUCAAAUCAUAAAUCAAAUUUUAAAUCAAAUCCUAAAUCUAGACCAAAUUAUAAUCAAAUCCUAAACUUUAAUCAAAUCUUAAAUUCAAGACCAAUCUUGAUAAAAUUCUAACCAAAUCCUAGUCAAAUCUUAAAUCAAUCUUAAUCAAAUCUUAAUCAAAUCCUAAAUCAAUUCUAAUAAAAUCCUAAGUCUUAACCAAAUCCUAAACAACCUCAAGAAUAUCUAAAAUA